CAAACAACUGGAUCCUUCUAGAGCUCGGAGGCCUGGCCCCUUCCUUCUUAGUGGUGUGAGCUUGGGAAGUGCGCCCCGGGUGUCAGGAGCCGCUGCAGGCCAGCCGUGUGGACUUGCAUUUCCUCCUCGUAAAACCCUACCAUUGGACUAUCGUCACAUACCCAUAGCGCGGAUGAGAGGGAGGAAGUCCAGAGAGGGUAGGGUGCCCUUUGGAGAAACAGUUUGCUGCUGAUACAUACAUUGAAAAAACGCAGAAAAAAGAAAAGGAAAAACCACAGGAUCAGCCGACCUCUAAAGCCCUCCUAGCAGUAAGGUUUGAUGAUGACCCUCCAUCUGGGGGCAGAUGGAGGGCGACUUGCUCAGGUUACUCCCGAAGUGGUGGGGGCAGGUGGGUGGGCAGCAGAUGCGCCGCUCCUGAUGCAGACCCUGAGGCCCGCCUACAGCCUCGGAAAACGCAACCCCUGCGCACCUGGAGUGUUGCUGGGUCUAUAGGACAGUGACCGUCUAUGGAGCGCUUGCUAGUACCUCACCUCAGUGACUCAUCCCCGAGAUUCACAGGGAGCCCUUUGCAGAUGGCUCCUGGGAAAAUGAUGAGGACGAGCUCUUACAUCUGGACCACUCUUUACAACUUGCAAAAUGCUCCCGUGUACCGAAUCCCACCCGAGCCUCACACAAGCCCAGAAGCCGCAGGUUUUAUUAUCCUGUUUAAAGACGAAGAAACCACUGCUAAAGAAGACCGUAAGCAGUUUGGGAGUCAGAAAGGAAGCAGAGGUUGGAGCCAUGUGAUUUGAAGAUGGUGGGUGGGGCUAUCAGCCAAGGAGUGUGUACAGCUUCUGGAAGCCAGAAAAGGCAAGGAAACGGAUUCUUACCUGGAGAGAAAGAAUACAACCCUGCUGACACCUUGAUAUUAGCCCCAUAAGAGUCAUUUUGGACUUAUGACCUCCAGAAUUAAUUGUAAGAUAAUACAUUCGUCUUAUUUUAAGCCGCUAAGCAUGUGGUAAUUUGUUACAGGAGUCAUAGACGAUUCAUCCAAAACCCAGGGGUGCUCAGAGGAUGCAGUGGUAGGUACGGGACUCAAAUGCAGUCCUUCUGUCCGCAGGAACUGUGCUCAGGCUCCCAACCACCACGUUGACCCAACAGCCGACCAGAGUCAGGAGUUGAAGGCAUCAAUGCCAUUGUCCUUAAGGAGAAGAAAUGACCCUGGUGGUGAGCCUAGGGGAAUUCUGCUGUUUUUAAAUGUCAGAAAUGUUAUGGGAAAGAGGAAUGUUUUUGGCUGGGCACAGCAGAGAGUUUCCAUAUUUUGAACCAACCCUAACUGAUGAGCACUGGAUGCCUGGAGCUCUGUGCUGAGCAGGAUCCUGAGGCCAAGCCCAGGCUCCCAGGGAAAUUGCUCUGUGCUUGACUGGCAAUGUCUGCCUUGGCCUUGCCAGGGCUGAGCAGCAGCGUAUGCUGAUCUGGAUUGGAUGAGUUGCCUGGAGCUGGCCCUGAGUUUGAUUCAUCUUUUUAUGCCCAGGGCCCAGCAGUGUGCCUAAAACAGAGCAAGCACUCAAUAAAUAUUUGAGGGAAGGAGGGAAAGAGGUCAGAAAGGAGAGAGAAAGUAGGGAGAGAAAUUUAUUUUCAGGGAGGCCAGGUCUAGGGCCAAUAGGUAGAAUCCCUGGCUGGAAAGCUUCUGAUUUGCCUCCCCAGCAUCUCUUACCUUCUUGUUCUGAUCACAGCAAUCCUUUCCUUUGGAGAUCCACCCCUCCCCCUCAUUCCAUUUGGUUAUGGCAGGACUGCCAAUCACAAGGUCCUGGGGCAGGCCUGUGACUAAACCCGGCAACCCAACUUUAGUUCCCAGAAUCUGAACCUUGAUGAGAGGCACUCGGGAGAGAGACUGGAGAGGUGGUCCCCAAACUCAGCCACGGAAGAGGAAGUGGUACAGUCCACUUCUGUGGGACUCCUGAGAUGGAGCUCAGACACUCCUAACCUUAAAGUCAUCUCUUUCAGAACCAACAGCCAAAGGUACAGAAACCACCGGGAAGAGAAGCAUCCUGGGGAGGUUCAGGCAGCUGAUCCUCCCUGCAUUCCAGCAGCCAGGCUGGUUGUGUGCCAGUAAACACUGCCACCCCCAUUUUUUUUCUGCUCAGUUAUUCAGAGUUCGUUUCUGUGGCUUGAAACCGAAGAACCCCAAUCAAUAUUAUAGUCUCUCUAGAAGGAGGAGCCAGCCAGUAAUCAGAACUGUUCAACUUUGGAGAAGCUCUCUAGUCGGGUGGGACUUGAGAGAAGAGG
Long non-coding RNA from Physeter macrocephalus (sperm whale), 2268 nucleotides. RefSeq lists it as uncharacterized. The transcript has 3 exons. Lineage: Eukaryota; Metazoa; Chordata; Mammalia; Artiodactyla; Physeteridae. The record is from RefSeq and is a predicted model, not a curated record.